UGCCCUAUUGUCUGGAUACCCUCGGAAAACUGAGAACAAGGCCGGAUAGCCCACACUGCCUGAAACGGUUUGUGGAUGAAGCUUACAUAAGGAUGGGUCUGCGGCGUAUCAGGUUGUAGGGGGGGUAAUGGACCUCCUACCCUUCUACGCAUACGGUUGUUGGAAUAAAUAUCCCGAAGAUGGAUUCUGAAACACUAAUCCAAACCCUCCGGGUAGCAGCAGGCGCGAAAACUUCAAAUUGUAGGAAACUGUGAUGAGGAACCUCCAAGUGCAGGCUCAUGGUGGAUGCUUUUCUUAACUUUUAAUCGGUUAGGAAAGAAGGGCUGUUAAAGACCGUUGCCUGCCGCCACGGUAAUACCGGAUCCUCACUUGGUCGUCCUUUUUUUUGACCCUAAAUACCCCUUACCUUGUUUGGUAAAUCUGUGAGUAAAUCAACCUGAUUAAUUGGUUUAUUUCUGAAAAGACUGCCAUACUAGGGACUGGAAAAGGGGAGGGUUAUUCUCGGGAUAAGGGUAAAUUUUUGUCUUCCUGGGAGGACCUCCCCUUGCGAAGCCCCCAUGCUGGAACGUAUCCGACCGUCA
Molecule: ribosomal RNA, 581 nt
Filed under: uncultured euryarchaeote
Lineage: Archaea; Methanobacteriati; Methanobacteriota
Description: bacterial SSU rRNA
Rfam family: Archaeal small subunit ribosomal RNA
Source: RNAcentral